Molecule: ribosomal RNA, 245 nt
Filed under: uncultured bacterium
Lineage: Bacteria
Description: partial 16S ribosomal RNA
Rfam family: Bacterial small subunit ribosomal RNA
Source: RNAcentral
GACGGAGGGUGCAAGCGUUGUUCGGAAUCACUGGGCGUAAAGCGCGUGUAGGCGGUUGGAUAAGUCGGAUGUGAAAGCCCGGGGCUCAACUCCGGAAGUGCAUUCGAAACUGUCCUGCUCGAGUACGGGAGAGGAGAGUGGAAUUCCUGGUGUAGAGGUGAAAUUCGUAGAUAUCAGGAGGAACACCUGUGGCGAAGGCGGCUCUCUGGACCGAUACUGACGCUGAGACGCGAAAGCGUGGGGAG